GGCCAGGUAGCUCAGUUGGUUAGAGCAUCAGCCUGAUACACCAAGGUUGUGGGUUUGAUCCCUGCUCAGGUCA
This is a non-coding RNA of Myotis brandtii (Brandt's bat), 73 nucleotides long. The record is from Rfam. Lineage: Eukaryota; Metazoa; Chordata; Mammalia; Chiroptera; Vespertilionidae.